This 490-nucleotide ribosomal RNA is filed under the name uncultured bacterium. Its description in RNAcentral is "partial 16S ribosomal RNA". It matches the Rfam family "Bacterial small subunit ribosomal RNA", at positions 30 to 507 of the family's 1533-position model. The record is from RNAcentral.
AUUGAACGCUGGCGGCAGGCCUAACACAUGCAAGUCGAACGGUAACAGGAAGACGCUUGCUUCUUUGCUGACGAGUGGCGGACGGGUGAGUAAUGUCUGGGAAACUGCCUGAUGGAGGGGGAUAACUACUGGAAACGGUAGCUAAUACCGCAUAACGUCGCAAGACCAAAGAGGGGGACCUUCGGGCCUCUUGCCAUCGGAUGUGCCCAGAUGGGAUUAGCUAGUAGGUGGGGUAACGGCUCACCUAGGCGACGAUCCCUAGCUGGUCUGAGAGGAUGACCAGCCACACUGGAACUGAGACACGGUCCAGACUCCUACGGGAGGCAGCAGUGGGGAAUAUUGCACAAUGGGCGCAGGCCUGAUGCAGCCAUGCCGCGUGUAUGAAGAAGGCCUUCGGGUUGUAAAGUACUUUCAGCGGGGAGGAAGGGAGUAAAGUUAAUACCUUUGCUCAUUGACGUUACCCGCAGAAGAAGCACCGGCUAACUCCGUG